Molecule: transfer RNA, 78 nt
Filed under: Nitrososphaerota archaeon
Lineage: Archaea; Thermoproteati; Nitrososphaerota
Description: tRNA-Val
Source: RNAcentral
UGGCCCGUGGUCUAGUCUGGCUAUGACGUCGCUCUCACACGGCGAAAAUCCCCGGUCCGAGUCCGGGCGGGCCCACCA